RNAcentral lists this non-coding RNA (77 nucleotides) under Pseudomonadota bacterium. RNAcentral's name for it is "Proteobacteria bacterium c-di-GMP sequence". It matches the Rfam family "c-di-GMP-I-GGC riboswitch aptamer". Lineage: Bacteria; Pseudomonadati; Pseudomonadota. The record is from RNAcentral.
CGUGUAAAAGCCAAACCCGUCGAGAGGCGGGGACGGAAAGCCACAGGCCUUGGAGAUAGGCGGCUGGGUUAUCACCU